Molecule: ribosomal RNA, 495 nt
Filed under: uncultured bacterium
Lineage: Bacteria
Description: partial 16S ribosomal RNA
Rfam family: Bacterial small subunit ribosomal RNA
Source: RNAcentral
GACGAACGCUGGCGGCGUGCCUAAUACAUGCAAGUAGAACGCUGAAGGAGGAGCUUGCUUCUCUGGAUGAGUUGCGAACGGGUGAGUAACGCGUAGGGAACCUGCCUGGUAGCGGGGGAUAACUAUUGGAAACGAUAGCUAAUACCGCAUAAGAGUAGAUGUUGCAUGACAUUUGCUUAAAAGGUGCAAUUGCAUCACUACCAGAUGGACCUGCGUUGUAUUAGCUAGUUGGUGAGGUAACGGCUCACCAAGGCGACGAUACAUAGCCGACCUGAGAGGGGGAUCGGCCACACUGGGACUGAGACACGGCCCAGACUCCUACGGGAGGCAGCAGUAGGGAAUCUUCGGCAAUGGACGGAAGUCUGACCGAGCAACGCCGCGUGAGUGAAGAAGGUUCUCGGAUCGUAAAGCUCUGUUGUAAGAGAAGAACGAGUGUGAGAGUGGAAAGUUCACACUGUGACGGUAUCUUACCAGAAAGGGACGGCUAACUACGUG